GUGGGGAAUUUUGGACAAUGGGGGCAACCCUGAUCUAGCCAUGCCGCGUGAGUGAUGAAGGCCUUAGGGUCGUAAAGCUCUUUCGCCGGGGAAGAUAAUGACGGUACCCGGUAAAGAAACCCCGGCUAACUCCGUGCCAGCAGCCGCGGUAAUACGGAGGGGGUUAGCGUUGUUCGGAAUUACUGGGCGUAAAGCGCGCGUAGGCGGAUCGGAAAGUUGGGGGUGAAAUCCCGGGGCGCAACCCCGGAAUUGCCUUCAAAACUCCCUGUCUUGAGGUCGAGAGAGGUGAGUGGAAUUCCGAGUGUAGAGGUGAAAUUCGUAGAUAUUCGGAGGAACACCAGUGGCGAAGGCGGCUCACUGGCUCGAUACUGACGCUGAGGUGCGAAAGCGUGGGGAGCAAACAGGAUUAGAAACCCUAGUAGUCC
This 425-nucleotide ribosomal RNA is filed under the name uncultured bacterium. RNAcentral describes it as "partial 16S ribosomal RNA". It matches the Rfam family "Bacterial small subunit ribosomal RNA", at positions 354 to 796 of the family's 1533-position model. The record is from RNAcentral.